RNAcentral lists this ribosomal RNA (462 nucleotides) under uncultured bacterium. RNAcentral's name for it is "SSU rRNA". It matches the Rfam family "Bacterial small subunit ribosomal RNA", at positions 26 to 518 of the family's 1533-position model. The record is from RNAcentral.
AGAACGAACGCUGGCGGCAGGCUUAACACAUGCAAGUCGAACGCUCCUAGCAAUAGGGGAGUGGCAGACGGGUGAGUAACGCGUGGGAACAUACCCUCCGGUUCGGAAUAACUCAGGGAAACUUGAGCUAAUACCGGAUACGGCCUUUAGUCGAAGGAUUGGCGGCGAAAGAUUUAUCGCCGGAGGAUUGGCCCGCGUCCGAUUAGCUAGUUGGUGUGGUAAUGGCGCACCAAGGCGACGAUCGGUAGCUGGUCUGAGAGGAUGAUCAGCCACAUUGGGACUGAGACACGGCCCAAACUCCUACGGGAGGCAGCAGUGGGGAAUAUUGGACAAUGGGCGCAAGCCUGAUCCAGCCAUGCCGCGUGAGUGAUGACGGCCUUAGGGUUGUAAAGCUCUUUCGCUCGGGACGAUAAUGACGGUACCGAGAUAAGAAGCCCCGGCUAACUUCGUGCCAGCAGCCGC